Molecule: regulatory RNA element, 98 nt
Organism: Thermoplasmatales archaeon BRNA1
Lineage: Archaea; Methanobacteriati; Thermoplasmatota; Thermoplasmata; Thermoplasmatales
Rfam family: Pyrrolysine insertion sequence mttB
Source: Rfam
UAGCGACUCCAUCCACGUCGAUGUUCAGUCCGGACAUGAGAGUACAAUGACUGCAUUGCUCACGGCCCUUUCGGGCUCGAACAACGUGUUCGGGUCCG